This 252-nucleotide ribosomal RNA is filed under the name uncultured bacterium. Its description in RNAcentral is "partial 16S ribosomal RNA". It matches the Rfam family "Bacterial small subunit ribosomal RNA", at positions 524 to 776 of the family's 1533-position model. The record is from RNAcentral.
UACGUAGGGUGCGAGCGUUGUCCGGAAUUAUUGGGCGUAAAGAGCUCGUAGGCGGUCUGUCGCGUCGAAUGUGAAACCCGGGGCUCAACUCCGGGCUUGCAUUCGAUACGGGCAGGCUAGAGUUCGGUAGGGGAGUCUGGAAUUCCUGGUGUAGCGGUGAAAUGCGCAGAUAUCAGGAGGAACACCGGUGGCGAAGGCGGGUCCCUGGGCAGUAACUGACGCUGAGGAGCGAAAGCGUGGGGAGCGAACAGG